UUCGUCUUCGAUUCAUCCCCGAGUAUCCACGCCGCCGCUGCUCCUCCUCCGCCACUGUCUUCCGUUGGAGGGAGAGAUCUUUGUCUUCCGUCAGUUUUAAAGGCAAACAAAAUCAUCCAAUCGAUGGCGGUCCCGUAAAACGGAGGAAAGCUUCUCGGGGUCCUCCAAUUAUUUCACCCACGAACUGAGAAGAGAGCUAGAGAGCUAGAGAGAGAGAUGGAGAUGGAGGGGAGGGCCGGGGGUUCGCUGCCGUUCGUGGGGAUGAUAAUGGUGGUUCUGGUUCAAGCGAGCAGCAUGGUGGUGGCAAAAAUGGCCAAUGUCCGACGGGCUCAACAAGUACACCUUGGCCUUCUACUGUCAGGGUCGCGCCCUCCUCUGACUUUCUGCGUGCUUCGCAAAAUCUUCUUGCUCGCUCUGGUCGGAUCCGCAUCGCAGAUAUGCGGGUAUGCCGGGAUCGAUUACAGCUCCCCUGUGCUGGGCACGGCCAUGAUGAACCUCAUCCCAGCUUUCACUUUCAUUCUCGCCGUCAUUUCAAGGAGUAUCGUGAGCAUUCAAGCAUACCAAGCUGGUGGUUUGACGGUUUAAUCAGUAAAGACAUUCAAAUGGCCAAUGAAGUUUUCUCCAUUCACACCAUUGAUUUUGACCGGCAAUGCACAUGCAGAACAUUGCCCGUUGCUGAAACUUGCAUUUGCCAAUUGCCAAGAGUUUGCACGGGAGCUGCGAAAGCUUGUAUGGAGUGUACAGUCGACUCAAGAACAGCGAACCAAAAACAAGAGAGAAGCUAGCAUGGCGCUCCUAAGGGCGGAGAAGUCCUCUACUCAUUUCCGCCAAAACCCUGCAAGGCAGAUCCGGUUGAAUCGUUCUACAAUGCAGGGUGAUUUUUGAACCGAGUACCAGGUGGAUGAUGGGGUGCUAAUUUUAAUUCGGUGCCGGGUUCAGUCCUGUGCAAUGGCUCAAAAGAGAAUAGUUAUGCCGCUAAACGUUAUUUACUUGUCUUUACCUUUCCAUUGCCUGCUAGUUUCGUCAAUUCCGCAGUUAUAAAAGAGGCGAGAUAAUUCUGAUAGAAAAAAGAAAGAAAGGGCGGUUAGGCUCUGUUCUUAUAAGUGUUUAUUUGACACUCGGAUUAUGCUUUUGUAUUCGGUUCUAUCUGGGUAAUGUACAUGCUGGUGCCAGCCAGUACGG
Eucalyptus grandis is the source of this 1182-nucleotide RNA transcript. It is a transcript of the gene named WAT1-related protein At3g28100-like, with no coding region annotated. NCBI's taxonomy places the organism in Eukaryota, Viridiplantae, Streptophyta, Magnoliopsida, Myrtales, Myrtaceae. The record is from RefSeq and is a predicted model, not a curated record. The transcript has 7 exons.